AACGCACAUUGCGCCCGCUGGUAUUCCGGCGGGCAUGCCUGUUCGAGCGUCAUUUCACCACUCAAGCCUCGCUUGGUAUUGGGCGACGCGGUACGCCGCGCGCCUCAAAUCUUUCGGCUGGGUCUGAAUCGUCCCUCAGCGUUGUGGAAACUAUUCGCUAAAGGGUUCGCGUUCGGCAACGCCGUUAAACAAAACCAUUUCAUUAAAGGUUGACCUCGGAUCAGGUAGGGAUACCCGCUGAACUUAA
This 247-nucleotide unclassified non-coding RNA is filed under the name uncultured Capnodiales. RNAcentral's name for it is "sequence contains 5.8S rRNA gene, ITS2, 28S rRNA gene". The stretch from base 1 to 52 matches the Rfam family "5.8S ribosomal RNA", at positions 103 to 154 of the family's 154-position model. The record is from RNAcentral. Lineage: Eukaryota; Fungi; Ascomycota; Dothideomycetes; Capnodiales.